Molecule: ribosomal RNA, 445 nt
Filed under: uncultured organism
Description: partial 16S ribosomal RNA
Rfam family: Bacterial small subunit ribosomal RNA
Source: RNAcentral
ACUCCUGCGGGAGGCAGCAGUGGGGAAUAUUGGACAAUGGGCGCAAGCCUGAUCCAGCCAUGCCGCGUGAGUGAUGAAGGCCCUAGGGUUGUAAAGCUCUUUCACCGGUGAAGAUAAUGACGGUAACCGGAGAAGAAGCCCCGGCUAACUUCGUGCCAGCAGCCGCGGUAAUACGAAGGGGGCUAGCGUUGUUCGGAUUUACUGGGCGUAAAGCGCACGUAGGCGGACUAUUAAGUCAGGGGUGAAAUCCCGGGGCUCAACCCCGGAACUGCCUUUGAUACUGGUAGUCUUGAGUUCGAGAGAGGUGAGUGGAAUUCCGAGUGUAGAGGUGAAAUGCGUAGAUAUUCGGAGGAACACCAGUGGCGAAGGCGGCUCACUGGCUCGAUACUGACGCUGAGGUGCGAAAGCGUGGGGAGCAAACAGGAUUAGAUACCCGGGUAGUCCC